UACGGAGGAUCCGAGCGUUAUCCGGAUUUAUUGGGUUUAAAGGGUGCGUAGGCGGUUUGAUAAGUUAGAGGUGAAAUGUCGGGGCUCAACCCCGAAACUGCCUCUAAUACUGUUGGACUAGAGAAUAGUUACGGUAGGCGGAAUGUAUGGUGUAGCGGUGAAAUGCUUAGAGAUCAUACAGAACACCGAUUGCGAAGGCAGCUUACCAAACUAUAUCUGACGUUGAGGCACGAAAGCGUGGGUAGCAAACAGG
This 253-nucleotide ribosomal RNA is filed under the name uncultured bacterium. RNAcentral's name for it is "partial 16S ribosomal RNA". It matches the Rfam family "Bacterial small subunit ribosomal RNA", at positions 524 to 776 of the family's 1533-position model. The record is from RNAcentral.